UGGCAACAUGCCAAAAAUAACAAAUGGGCAACUGCAAUUUUAUAACCACAACCACAACAUGGUCUUUGGAACUCCACCGUGCCGACAAGAGGCUUAAAAUGGCCAUGAUAAUCUCAAUAGAGGUACUAAAAUGCGAACGGAAGGGUUGUACAUGCUGUGUCCCGUUGUACGACUUCAGCUAUAUAUACAUUUAUCUCAUGGCUUCUCC
This is a long non-coding RNA of Rhododendron vialii, 208 nucleotides long. RefSeq lists it as uncharacterized. The transcript is spliced from 3 exons. NCBI's taxonomy places the organism in Eukaryota, Viridiplantae, Streptophyta, Magnoliopsida, Ericales, Ericaceae. The record is from RefSeq and is a predicted model, not a curated record.